CGAAAGCCCCCCGAUUACACCGAGGAGUUAUCUGUUUGACCCAGAUUAUUUUGA
RNAcentral lists this transfer RNA (54 nucleotides) under Odorrana sp. ROM 26476. Its description in RNAcentral is "tRNA-Val". The record is from RNAcentral. Lineage: Eukaryota; Metazoa; Chordata; Amphibia; Anura; Ranidae.